This 74-nucleotide transfer RNA is filed under the name Shigella boydii. RNAcentral describes it as "tRNA-Val". The stretch from base 6 to 63 matches the Rfam family "tRNA", at positions 8 to 63 of the family's 71-position model. Rfam says of the family: Transfer RNA (tRNA) molecules are approximately 80 nucleotides in length. Their secondary structure includes four short double-helical elements and three loops (D, anti-codon, and T loops). Further hydrogen bonds mediate the characteristic L-shaped molecular structure. tRNAs have two regions of fundamental functional importance: the anti-codon, which is responsible for specific mRNA codon recognition, and the 3' end, to which the tRNAs corresponding amino acid is attached (by aminoacyl-tRNA synthetases). tRNAs cope with the degeneracy of the genetic code in two manners: having more than one tRNA (with a specific anti-codon) for a particular amino acid; and 'wobble' base-pairing, i.e. permitting non-standard base-pairing at the 3rd anti-codon position. Lineage: Bacteria; Pseudomonadati; Pseudomonadota; Gammaproteobacteria; Enterobacterales; Enterobacteriaceae. The record is from RNAcentral.
GUCCCUAGCUCAGCUGGGAGAGCACCUCCCUUACAAGGAGGGGGUCGGCGGUUCGAUCCCGUCAUCACCCACCA